This is a non-coding RNA of Flavobacterium suncheonense GH29-5 = DSM 17707, 51 nucleotides long. NCBI's taxonomy places the organism in Bacteria, Pseudomonadati, Bacteroidota, Flavobacteriia, Flavobacteriales, Flavobacteriaceae. The record is from Rfam.
CUUUAGCCCUGAUGGGAGCGGCACCGCGUAAAGCGGACAGCAGGAUUUACG